GAAAACUGGUCAGAGGCCAUCUGAAGCCAAAGAGAUAAAGCUGUAUGCCCAGAUUCCCCCGAUAGAGAAGAUGGACGCCUCCUUGUCCACACUUGCCAACUGCGAGAAGCUUUCACUGUCUACAAAUUGCAUUGAAAAAAUAGCAAACCUGAAUGGCCUAAAAAACUUGAGGAUAUUGUCUUUAGGAAGAAACAACAUAAAGAACUUAAAUGGACUGGUAG
Molecule: long non-coding RNA, 221 nt
Organism: Octodon degus (degu)
Lineage: Eukaryota; Metazoa; Chordata; Mammalia; Rodentia; Octodontidae
Exons: 3
Source: RefSeq, a predicted model, not a curated record